AAGGAGACUAGACAUCUACCACCCCACUACCACUAUCAGAUUAGAGCCAUAAAGGAGACUAGACAUCUACCACCCCACUACCACUAUCAGAUUAGAGCCAUAAUGGAGAAUAGACAUCUACCACCCCACUACCACUAUCAGAUUAGAGCCAUAAGGGAGACUAGACAUCUACCACCCCACUACCACUAUCAGAUUAGAGCCAUAAGGGAGACUAGACAUCUACCACCCCAUUACCACUAUCACAUUAGAGCCAUAAGGGAGACUAGACAUCUACCACCCCACUACCACUAUCAGAUUAGAGCCAUCAAGCAGACUAGACAUCUACCACCCAACUACCACUAUCACAUUAGAGCCAUAAGGGAGACUAGACAUCUACCACCCCACUACCACUAUCAGAUUAGAGCCAUAAGGGAGACUAGACAUCUACCACCCCACUACCACUAUCAGAUUAGAGCCAUAAGGGAGAAUAGACAUCUACCACCCCACUGCUACUAUCAGAUUAGAGCCAUAAAGGAGACUAGACAUCUACCACCCCACUACCACUAUCAGAUUAGAGCCAUCAAGCAGACUAGGCAUCUACCACUAUCAGAUUAUAGCCAAAAGGGAGAAUAGACAUCUACCAACCCACUUCCACUGUCAGAUUAGAACCAUAAGGGAGACUAGACAUCUACCACCCCACUACCACUAUCAGAUUAGAGCCAUAAGGGAGACUAGACAUCUACCACCCCAUUACCACCAUCAGAUUAGAGCCAUAAGGAAGAAUAGACAUCUACCACCCCACUACCACUAUCAGAUUAGAGCCAUAAAGCAGACUAGGCAUAUACCACUAUCAGAUUAUAGCCAUAAGGGAGAUUAGACAUC
This is a long non-coding RNA of Oncorhynchus tshawytscha (Chinook salmon), 861 nucleotides long. The record is from Ensembl. Lineage: Eukaryota; Metazoa; Chordata; Actinopteri; Salmoniformes; Salmonidae.